AGUGAACGCUGGCGGUAGGCCUAACACAUGCAAGUCGAACGGCAGCACAGUAAGAGCUUGCUCUUACGGGUGGCGAGUGGCGGACGGGUGAAGAAUACAUCGGAAUCUACUUUUUCGUGGGGGAUAACGUAGGGAAACUUACGCUAAUACCGCAUACGACCUACGGGUGAAAGCAGGGGAUCUUCGGACCUUGCGCGAUUGAAUGAGCCGAUGUCGGAUUAGCUAGUUGGCGGGGUAAAGGCCCACCAAGGCGACGAUCCGUAGCUGGUCUGAGAGGAUGAUCGGCCACACUGGAACUGAGACACGGUCCAGACUCCUACGGGAGGCAGCAGUGGGGAAUAUUGGACAAUGGGCGCAAGCCUGAUCCAGCCAUACCGCGUGGGUGAAGAAGGCCUUCGGGUUGUAAAGCCCUUUUGUUGGGAAAGAAAAGCAGCAGGUUAAUACCCCGCUGUUCUGACGGUACCCAAAGAAUAAGCACCGGCUAACUUCGUG
This 492-nucleotide ribosomal RNA is filed under the name uncultured bacterium. Its description in RNAcentral is "partial 16S ribosomal RNA". It matches the Rfam family "Bacterial small subunit ribosomal RNA", at positions 29 to 507 of the family's 1533-position model. The record is from RNAcentral.